UACAGAGGGUGCGAGCGUUGUCCGGAAUUACUGGGCGUAAAGGGCGCGUAGGCGGCCUGAUAAGUAGGGGGUGAAAUUCCGUGGCUCAACCACGGAACUGCCUUCUAAACUGCCAGGCUUGAGCACGGUAGAGGCAGAUGGAAUUCCCGGUGUAGCGGUGGAAUGCGUAGAGAUCGGGAAGAACACCAGUGGCGAAGGCGGUCUGCUGGGCCGUUGCUGACGCUGAGGCGCGACAGCGUGGGGAGCAAACAGG
Molecule: ribosomal RNA, 253 nt
Filed under: uncultured bacterium
Lineage: Bacteria
Description: partial 16S ribosomal RNA
Rfam family: Bacterial small subunit ribosomal RNA
Source: RNAcentral